GACACCUGUCUUUUUGAAAGUCAGAUGCUUACCAACCAUGUGGAUAUAAAGUCAGCCAGUUUCCAUUUUGACCACAAGUUAGAAGGAAUGGGGAACGAGAGGGGUGGCUCUUCAAAAAGGAGUAACAAAGCCAUGACCACUGAUGGGAUUACUGUCAGCUGAAUACCAUUUAAAUUGCAUUUUCUGCAGGGAGAUCAUUAAGAAUAAAGCAUGUAUAUUGUGGGGGGCGCAGGGUGGGGGUGGGAGUGGGUGGGUGGUGGGGAAUGUUAAAUCAAGCUUUUUUAAACUUCUCUCAGUUCAAACCCUGGGGAAAAGACCAGAGUUGAGGAAUUAAAAAAGGGGGGAGGCCGAGGCAGGUGGAUCACGAGGUCAGGAGUUCAAGACCAGCCUGGCCAAGAUGGUGAAACCCUGUCUGUACUAAAAAUACAAAAAUUAGCCGGGCGCGGUGGCAGGCGCCUGUAAUCCCAGCUACUUGGGAGGCUGAGCUAGCUCCAGGAGGUAUUUUCUCUCCAGGUGUACUCAUAGGUGUAGGAACUAUUUUUUCUCCAGCUCAAAUGCAAGGAGAUGAGAUCUACAUCAGUGGGUGGUACAAUCUCCCUUACCAAAGAAGCCUCAGUUUUCCACAAGAGCCAAUAUCUAUUUUUACAUUUCAUAUAUAGACCUUGGGGUCACUGAAAGAGAUGUACCAGUUACAAGGGUCACUAUACUCAGGAAAGCCUAAACUAUUACUUUCUCUCAGGUAUUUAUAGUUCUCUAAGCCUAGAUGUACUUUACCAGCUGGGGAUUAUUUUUAUCAUAAGCAAUGUUGCCUAGCAGUGUUGUUAACACAUACUGUUUUAUCUGGUAAAUACAGACCUAGGUUGUUGAUCCAGAGUCAGAGUCUCAUGGAGCAGGUGAA
This 898-nucleotide long non-coding RNA is filed under the name Homo sapiens (human). RNAcentral's name for it is "non-protein coding lnc-TBX15-4:1". The record is from RNAcentral. Lineage: Eukaryota; Metazoa; Chordata; Mammalia; Primates; Hominidae.